RNAcentral lists this transfer RNA (96 nucleotides) under Xylaria intraflava. Its description in RNAcentral is "tRNA-Asn". It matches the Rfam family "tRNA". From Rfam's summary of the family: Transfer RNA (tRNA) molecules are approximately 80 nucleotides in length. Their secondary structure includes four short double-helical elements and three loops (D, anti-codon, and T loops). Further hydrogen bonds mediate the characteristic L-shaped molecular structure. tRNAs have two regions of fundamental functional importance: the anti-codon, which is responsible for specific mRNA codon recognition, and the 3' end, to which the tRNAs corresponding amino acid is attached (by aminoacyl-tRNA synthetases). tRNAs cope with the degeneracy of the genetic code in two manners: having more than one tRNA (with a specific anti-codon) for a particular amino acid; and 'wobble' base-pairing, i.e. permitting non-standard base-pairing at the 3rd anti-codon position. The record is from RNAcentral. Lineage: Eukaryota; Fungi; Ascomycota; Sordariomycetes; Xylariales; Xylariaceae.
UCCUCCGUGGCGCAAUUGGCUAGCGCGUUCGACUGUUACUAGCUCGAAAAGAGCAGGGCGAUCGAGAGGUUGACAGUUCAAGCCUGUCCGGGGGAG